CUUUCUCAGUUAUUCACUUUGUGUGAUGACUGGUAUUGAGUGGUACUCUUUGCAGGGUUAACUUGAAAUAAGCGUAGCGCGAGCGGUGACGGCCGAUCUUGCCGAGAUAAUGUAUUAGGUUCUGCCAACUCGUUAGCUCAGUCAGAAAAGCAGUCGCCAGCAACUCCGCUGUCCUUUCACAAA
RNAcentral lists this unclassified non-coding RNA (183 nucleotides) under uncultured Candida. RNAcentral's name for it is "sequence contains ITS2". Lineage: Eukaryota; Fungi; Ascomycota; Saccharomycetes; Saccharomycetales. The record is from RNAcentral.